CAGAGCGUAGCUUAAAAAAUAAUAGUAUCUCCCUUACACCGAGAAGACACCCGUGCAAAUCGGGUCGCACUGA
RNAcentral lists this transfer RNA (73 nucleotides) under Trimma okinawae (Okinawa rubble goby). Its description in RNAcentral is "tRNA-Val". It matches the Rfam family "tRNA". From Rfam's summary of the family: Transfer RNA (tRNA) molecules are approximately 80 nucleotides in length. Their secondary structure includes four short double-helical elements and three loops (D, anti-codon, and T loops). Lineage: Eukaryota; Metazoa; Chordata; Actinopteri; Gobiiformes; Gobiidae. The record is from RNAcentral.